AUGUUGGCCUUGAGCGCCGUGCAGAGGCACACCGCCGCCUCCAGGUCGGCGAGCCCCUGGAUUAGCGAGCAGCACGGCUGCUUCGGCGGCGUCCCCAGCUGCAGGUUGAUCAGCCCGUUGAGCACGUUGGCGCACACCCCCAGCUUCAGCGUGUCGAUGGGGCACCGCGCGCGCCCGCCUGAUCCGCCUCCUCCCGAUCCGCCACCGCCGGACCCGCCGCCGAAAAAUUCACGGAACGAGUAUGAUUUUUGGGACAAGUUAGGGCAGCUCUAG
This 273-nucleotide ribosomal RNA is filed under the name Triticum aestivum (bread wheat). Its description in RNAcentral is "partial small subunit ribosomal RNA". Lineage: Eukaryota; Viridiplantae; Streptophyta; Magnoliopsida; Poales; Poaceae. The record is from RNAcentral.